GACGGAAGGUGCAAGCGUUGCUCGGAAUCACUGGGCGUAAAGGGUGCGUAGGCGGCCGUGCAAGUCUGGCGUGAAAGCCCCGGGCUCAGCCCGGGAAGUGCGCUCGAAACUGCGCGGCUCGAGUGCCGGAGGGGAGAGUGGAAUUCCUGGUGUAGCGGUGAAAUGCGUAGAUAUCAGGAGGAACACCAGUGGCGAAGGCGGCUUUCUGGACGGUAACUGACGCUGAGACGCGAAAGCGUGGGGAGCAAACAGG
This 253-nucleotide ribosomal RNA is filed under the name uncultured bacterium. RNAcentral's name for it is "partial 16S ribosomal RNA". It matches the Rfam family "Bacterial small subunit ribosomal RNA", at positions 524 to 776 of the family's 1533-position model. The record is from RNAcentral.